GGCCUUAUCCCCAUCGCCGCUGCCGCUCCCACUCCCUUUUCCCCAUCGCCGCCGCCGCUCCCGCUCCCUUCCGCACUGCUCCCGCUCUCGCCCCCUCCCGAUCUCGCUGUCCUCUCCCACCCACCGCCGACCUCGCCGUCCUCCUCACCCACCGCCGCCGACCUCGUCCCUCCCUCCCUCCCCGCAUCUCACGGCCACCACUACGCCCUUGCGCGCGAUGGCGGCGGCGAGGUCGGCGCCCUCAUCGAGAAGCACGCGGCACUGGCUGCGGGGUUUGGCCAGCGACGCCGAUAUCUGCUGCGGCGCGACGCCGACGCGGUCCACCACGACCGCCUGCAGAUUCCGCACGCCUAGCGACGGAUGCACGGCAACCGUGCCCAGGUCCAUGCUCUGCUCCCGCCAGGUUCGUCCAUGCUCUGCUCCCGCCAGGUUCGUCCGCGCACCCGCCUCCCUCCCUCCCCGCAUGUAACCCUAGUAGCUUUUCAGUAGAUCCGGCGCGCGUGCGCCGCCGUCCGUCUGAUUCGCUUUGCCCGGGAUCUCGUUCGGGACGGUGAGAUUGAUUAGUUGGCACCCACCUCGACUCCUUGCUUCUCCUUUUUCCCCCGGCUGCAGCUGUUUGCUGUUGAUGGCAGCACCCGUCCAGAUACUUGGUCAGUUUCAGUUUUGCAAAUCCGGUGUUGUUCAGUUAACUGGCCGUCGGUUGUUAUUGUUGUGCAUGGAGGUGUUGAGAUCCAAAGCACGUAGAGGCGAGGCGGAGCAGGCAGUCGUACAGGAUGUGUGGCCGUACGUUGCUACUUAAGCUGGGCAAUGCGGUGGCAUGCACACCACGGCCAUGGCUGGCACUGUAUCGGCCAAUGCCAAUGCCAUGGUCCGGCCAAGAGUUUCAGCGCUGAGCCUUUUUGCUUGCUAAUAAUAGUAGGCUGAUCCACUUUACUGUAUUAGGACUCUAUACUACUCGUUCCUUAAACGUAUCAGGGUUCCUAAUUCGAGUGCUGCCGUCCCUUUUUGAUCUGGUACUACUGCAUUUGUGCUACAUCUAUAUGUACGAUGAGGCUUAUCUUACAGCUUAGGAGGGGAACCUUUGUAGAUCGCGGGGCACAGGGGAUUGGAGUCGGGCCUGCCAGGGAACAGCUCUAGAUCCUCUUUGUCGUUGAACUUUAGUUUCCUCUUGUCCGAGAUGUGCAUGUCUUUGGCUCAUGUGUGGAUAGUAAUUUAUCAAUGAGCUCGAGACCAUAACAGUGUAGACUGGCGCUAGUUUUGUUUAAUCUAGACAGUGUUGUGUUUAAGACUGUUAGUACAGGGUUUGUGUAGUUGUAGAAUGGAGCUAUUUGAUGUCAGAACAUUUCAUUUACAAGGUCAAAUUUAUACUCUCUAUAUGCUGAUCAGUUUGUUACUUAAUGUUCGUGCAGUAUCGGCGACAACAAGAAGGCCUGGAAGACCGAACACUGCAGGGCACUGAAGAUAAAGCUUACAGAAAGAAAUAAAGAUGGCCAUGUUCUCACAUACUCCUGGAUUUCAUUUACAUCAACUUCUCAAGAGAGGAGUACUCCUUUUUAGUAGUCUCAGUUUAAAGUAAAUUAAAUGAAAGGAGUACUCCUUUUCAGUUGUCUCAGUUUAAAGUAAAUGAAAGGAGUACAAAUGCAUUUACAAAAAUAUGGAUUAAUUUCACAUAUCCUCCUUUGCAAACAUAUGGAUUAAUUUUCAGUAGUCUCAGUUUAAAGUAAAUGAAAGCACACACACAUGUGUGUGUGUGUGGAUUCUACUAUAGCAGUAGUACUCUUGCUAAAUUCAGAGCUCAGUGACAAGAAUCCCUGAAUGUAGGUUGUUAUAGGUUUUGGUUAUACAUGCACAUUUGGGUCUUAAUUCCUGCCUAUUUUCUCUGAAAAAACUGAGACAUGUUUGAGUUGGCAAUGACUGAGAUAAUAUAGUAACCAGUAAAAAAUGUUUUAUGAAGCCAAAUAAAUAAAUAUGCUUUUGUCUGUGAACUAAUAACAAUAUUGCUGGCAUUCUAUGGCAACAUUUGCAGAUCUUGAGGCAUGUGUGUGGCUGGAAGAAACACUCAAGAAAUUUGACCGUAUACUUGUGACAUCACUCUCAGGACUUCAUGAAUGGAGUGUGUACCAACAUCAUCCACAUGCAGAACAGGAAGCUGAAGCUGUGAAUAUAGCUGGCAAUAUUACUAAUGUUGAAGCUGAAGCUUCAGCUUCAGCUUCAGAUUCUCUUGUGCUUCCAACAAUAUUGCUGGCAAUAUUACUAAUGUGUUAAGUUGUCUAAACAUGCUUGCUGCUAGCUUUAAAGUUGAUCUAAAGAACCAUUCAUGCAUUUACACAUUCAUGAUUUCCUCUGCUGUUUGUAAUUAUUCUGGUUAACUUGCUAGUAGAUAUUGCCUGGGAUUUGUAGCUGGUAGAUAUUGUGUCAUGUCCUCUUAGACGAGUUCAUUUAUUGAAAAAUAUUUCACAUGUAGGGUAAAUAUGUCAGUAAAUCUGUAAAAUAUCUUCUUUAUAGUUUUUCCUCGCAUGUUCAGUAUUGUGUCUGGCAUGUUCAUAGAGCCACUUGUGGAGUGAGAUGGGAAUAACAAUUAUACUUCUGUAAUGUUUGAUCGUAUAGAUAUAUGCAAAAGUUGCUGUGCAUUAUCAUUAGUUUUGAUCGCUGCUUUACUAAUAACUGUGAAUGCAAUAGUGUGAUUGUGGUCUUAUUGACUUGCAAGUUUACUAUUUCGAGAACCAUCAUCUUAUUUUCUUUAACAUAGUAGUUUACUAUUGACGUUUACUAUUGAGGAAUAAGAGGAGAUAUGAAGUUUAUAUUGACGUUUCAUGCAGGUCGGGUUACCCAAUGUUGGCAAAUCAACUUUCUUUAACAUAGUAACAAAGGUGGGCUCUCGCGCCGGCGACUCCAGGCUCGCGGUGAAGAAGAGCAAGGCCGAGAAGGACCCCAACAAGCCCAAGCGCCCCUGAGUGCCUUCUUCAUCUUCAUCAGGUGCUCUGCUCUUGCACACGUCAGGCACCGUCUCUGGCGCGGUGGUGCUUCUUGAGGCGACCGACGUGAUGGUGGCUGUGUACGGCGGCGACCACAAGCUGUCCGGUGAGUCGGCUCCAUCUUCUAGCCCUAGAUCCCACUUUUCCGCUCCUAUAGCAUGCUCUGUUGGUUUAGAACACUAGCAGCAGUAGCCUACCAUGUAUGCGUACUAAACAGCAGGAGUUCAAUCACCUUGUGUACACUAGUAGCUUGCUUACACAGUUGUCACUUUUGCUUGUGGUAGCCAUUAUGUGGCUGAAUCAUGUCUGUGUCUACUAAUCAUCAGUUAAUAGUAUUUGGCUUCUACGUGAUGGUCUGAGACUAAUUUAUGGUGAUGUGGAUAUACUUUGUGAUUUAAAGUUACUAAUCUGUGGUCUGGUGUCAUAUUAUGGUCUAAUAUUUUUUGUUUUGACUCUUUCUGUGGUGCGAGGAAAGCUGUGAGUAGACGUCAACGAUGCCUACUUGCUUGGCUGCUACAGUGAUGCAUGCACCGGUCAAGCAAGCACACAUGCAUAUACGUACAUGUUAGGAUAAUAUAUCCGAUAUUCCCUCUGUUCCUGCUAUAUUCCUGUGUGAUGUAAACCUGGAGAUGUGUUAUGUGAUGUGAUAUGAUGGAUGAUUUGAAUUUCACAUGGAGUUUUCCUGAUUUGAAUA
This is a long non-coding RNA of Triticum aestivum (bread wheat), 3669 nucleotides long. RefSeq lists it as uncharacterized. The transcript has 4 exons. Lineage: Eukaryota; Viridiplantae; Streptophyta; Magnoliopsida; Poales; Poaceae. The record is from RefSeq and is a predicted model, not a curated record.